This 217-nucleotide long non-coding RNA is filed under the name Elaeis guineensis (African oil palm). RNAcentral describes it as "long non-coding RNA (EGUI_LNC078867)". Lineage: Eukaryota; Viridiplantae; Streptophyta; Magnoliopsida; Arecales; Arecaceae. The record is from RNAcentral.
UUCUAAUCUAGUUAUGCAUGUCAUCAUGAGUUAUCCACUUAUAUUGUAUUCUUGUUAUUGUAGAUUAACAGCACAUAUAUGGCAUCCUCACUGUCACUAAGAGGCAUACUAGAUGCUAACAAAUUGAUUGAAUCAAACUAUAUGGACUGAUUGAAAAUUUUAAGAAUUGUUCUUACUCAAGAGAAAGUCUCUGACAUACUGAAUUCACCUGCACUUG